UACGAGUGGUCCAAGCGUUAUCCGGAAUCAUUGGGCGUAAAGUGUUCGUAGGCUGAUUUAUUAGUCGGGUGUUUAACCCAAAGGCUCAACCUUUGGAUCGCACUCGAAACGGUAAAUCUUGAAUUUGUAAGAGGCAUGUAGAACUCAUAGUGUAGGGGUGAAAUCCGUUGAUAUUAUGGGGAAUACCAAAAGCGAAGGCAGCAUGCUAGUACAGUAUUGACGCUGAAGAACGAAAGCGUGGGUAGCGAAUGGG
RNAcentral lists this ribosomal RNA (253 nucleotides) under uncultured bacterium. RNAcentral's name for it is "partial 16S ribosomal RNA". It matches the Rfam family "Bacterial small subunit ribosomal RNA", at positions 524 to 776 of the family's 1533-position model. The record is from RNAcentral.